AGUGAACGCUGGCGGUAGGCCUAACACAUGCAAGUCGAACGGCAGCACAGUAAGAGCUUGCUCUUACGGGUGGCGAGUGGCGGACGGGUGAGGAAUACAUCGGAAUCUACUUUUUCGUGGGGGACAACGUAGGGAAACUUACGCUAAUACCGCAUACGACCUACGGGUGAAAGCAGGGGAUCUUCGGACCUUGCGCGAUUGAAUGAGCCGAUGUCGGAUUAGCUAGUUGGCGGGGUAAAGGCCCACCAAGGCGACGAUCCGUAGCUGGUCUGAGAGGAUGAUCAGCCACACUGGAACUGAGACACGGUCCAGACUCCUACGGGAGGCAGCAGUGGGGAAUAUUGGACAAUGGGCGCAAGCCUGAUCCAGCCAUACCGCGUGGGUGAAGAAGGCCUUCGGGUUGUAAAGCCCCUUUGUUGGGAAAGAAAAGCAGCAGGUUAAUACCCCGCUGUUCUGACGGUACCCAAAGAAUAAGCACCGGCUAACUUCGUG
RNAcentral lists this ribosomal RNA (492 nucleotides) under uncultured bacterium. Its description in RNAcentral is "partial 16S ribosomal RNA". It matches the Rfam family "Bacterial small subunit ribosomal RNA", at positions 29 to 507 of the family's 1533-position model. The record is from RNAcentral.